UACAGAGGGUGCGAGCGUUGUCCGGAAUCACUGGGCGUAAAGGGCGCGUAGGUGGCUUGCCAAGCGUGUGGUGAAAGCCCGGAGCUCAACUCCGGGUCGGCCAUGCGAACUGGCAGGCUAGAGCACGGUAGAGGCCAAUGGAAUUCCGGGUGUAGCGGUGGAAUGCGUAGAGAUCCGGAAGAACACCGGUGGCGAAGGCGGUUGGCUGGGCCGUUGCUGACACUGAGGCGCGACAGCGUGGGGAGCAAACAGG
RNAcentral lists this ribosomal RNA (253 nucleotides) under uncultured bacterium. Its description in RNAcentral is "partial 16S ribosomal RNA". It matches the Rfam family "Bacterial small subunit ribosomal RNA", at positions 524 to 776 of the family's 1533-position model. The record is from RNAcentral.